GGGGUGCUCGAGUGGCGAACGGGUGAGUAACACGUGAGUAACCUGCCCUUGACUUUGGGAUAACUUCAGGAAACUGGGGCUAAUACCGGAUAGGAGCUCCUGCUGCAUGGUGGGGGUUGAAAAGUUUCGGCGGUUGGGGAUGGACUCGCGGCUUAUCAGCUUGUUGGUGGGGUAAUGGCCUACCAAGGCGGCGACGGGUAGCCGGCCUGAGAGGGUGACCGGCCACAUUGGGACUGAGAUACGGCCCAG
Molecule: ribosomal RNA, 249 nt
Filed under: uncultured Actinomycetales bacterium
Lineage: Bacteria; Bacillati; Actinomycetota; Actinomycetes; Actinomycetales
Description: partial 16S ribosomal RNA
Rfam family: Bacterial small subunit ribosomal RNA
Source: RNAcentral